UACGGAGGGUGCAAGCGUUGUUCGGAUUUACUGGGCGUAAAGCGCGCGCAGGUGGAUGGACAAGUCGGAAGUGAAAUCUUGAGGCUCAACCUCGAGGCUGCUCCCGAAACUGUUCGUCUAGGGACUGGUAGAGGCUGGUAGAAUUCCCGGUGUAGCGGUGGAAUGCGUAGAGAUCCGGAAGAACACCGGUGGCGAAGGCGGCCUGCUGGGCAGUGGCUGACGCUGAGGCGCGACAGCGUGGGGAGCAAACAGG
This 253-nucleotide ribosomal RNA is filed under the name uncultured bacterium. RNAcentral's name for it is "partial 16S ribosomal RNA". It matches the Rfam family "Bacterial small subunit ribosomal RNA", at positions 524 to 776 of the family's 1533-position model. The record is from RNAcentral.